GAUGUCAGACAAAUGGAAACGACCAUUAUCGAAGGGUCCAUCAAAGGAUAUCGGAGGACACAAAGAUAAACAAAAGGUGGGCUCCAUCAAAGUCCGUUGCACAUACCAACAAACAAUGCAUCGAAACAGCAGCAACACUCGAAUGUGGCACUUGUAGCUUGAUUGACUUAUCAAAGGGAGCCAGAACCAGAGCCAAAAAGAGGAGUAGUUGUUGAAAUGAAGUGUUGACAAGUGGCAAGUCGAAGGAAUGUGUGCCGUGCUUGAAUCAAUGAGCCGAGUGAUGACAGCUGAGGAGGAUCGCAGGUGGGAAAAGGAAUUGCGGGUUGCAUGAAUGAGUGAGUGAGCUUCGCCGCUACGUGUUGCAUGCACCGCAGCCCCAUAUGGAAUUGAGUUUUCAGAGUCUGAAUUAUGUGCACGCAUUGUGCGCACGUCAUGACAGCCAACUGCUUACCAGAAGCGCAGCCCGAAGCAAGCCAGCAAGCUACCAACAUGCACAUUCAGAUUCAGAUUUCAGAGUUCCAGCACUUGUGCAACAACGCUUCACAGUUUCGAAUGAAAUUUACAACAAGUGCAGCAGGCAGAAAUGCUAAGGAGACACGGGACUUCGACAUGGAGAUGGAGUAACCAACCUGAAAAGUUGGGAAAACUGCACAGGGAAAAAUGGGCUAAAACGUACGAUGGCACCCAGAUUUGGGAGUACGCUGUUUUGCGAACUUG
Non-coding RNA from Drosophila melanogaster (fruit fly), 717 nucleotides. The record is from Ensembl. Lineage: Eukaryota; Metazoa; Arthropoda; Insecta; Diptera; Drosophilidae.